Molecule: transfer RNA, 72 nt
Filed under: Polytoma uvella
Lineage: Eukaryota; Viridiplantae; Chlorophyta; Chlorophyceae; Chlamydomonadales; Chlamydomonadaceae
Description: tRNA-Arg
Rfam family: tRNA
About the family: Transfer RNA (tRNA) molecules are approximately 80 nucleotides in length. Their secondary structure includes four short double-helical elements and three loops (D, anti-codon, and T loops).
Source: RNAcentral
GAGUCUAUCAUCUAAUGGAUAAGAUAGCGGUCUUCGAAACCGCUAAUGUUGGUUCAAAUCCAACUAGACUUA